CUAAUAACAACCUUCUUGAUAUUUCAGUUAUCUAACAAUUCAGAAUCUUCUUUAGAUAAGUACAAAUUUGGAUCAAAUAUUUCUCACGUUUACCUUUUUAACAUAAUCACGAUUAGAUUUACGCUUGUACAUUUAUAUAUUGACAUUCUGCUUUCUCUGUGUCUAUAUAUAUUCCAAACUUUCUCUGGAAUACAAACUAAUACAUAGCCCAAAUCUCUAUCUAUAAUUAUAAGCCACACACAUAUGUUUUUAUAUUUACUAUAGCAUUUUCAAUUUCACUGGACGAGUAUCAGGAUCAGGCGUGUAUUUGUUGGCAUAUGUUCUCAGAUCAAGAUAACACACAAAUCUGUGUUUUAGCUUUUACGUGAGAUCUGACGGUAGAUGUGUUUGCGUGCAAAAUACCAGAAAAGAUCUUCCAAAAGCAGCAUUCAUCAAAAAUGAUAGAGGAGCUUGAAGAAAUAGAGAAAACAAUGAAAGCUAUUUUUUCCUUACAAUAGCUCGGUGUAAAAAAUAAUCUCUCAUUUUCUGUAUUUUAUAUUUAUUUACUGUGAUUUUUAAGACGUUAUUAUAAUUUGUUAGGUGGUUUCGUCUUUGAUUGUUAAAAAUAUGGUUAUUUUAGUUGUUACAAAAUAUAUCCAAUAAUCAUUUUAACAGGAUUUGUAUUCAACUAACCAGUUUAUUAUGA
Molecule: long non-coding RNA, 685 nt
Organism: Raphanus sativus (radish)
Lineage: Eukaryota; Viridiplantae; Streptophyta; Magnoliopsida; Brassicales; Brassicaceae
Exons: 2
Source: RefSeq, a predicted model, not a curated record